This 721-nucleotide ribosomal RNA is filed under the name uncultured bacterium. RNAcentral's name for it is "bacterial SSU rRNA". It matches the Rfam family "Bacterial small subunit ribosomal RNA", at positions 58 to 756 of the family's 1533-position model. The record is from RNAcentral.
CAAGUCGAGCGAAUUGACGAAGAAAGCUUUCUUUCUUCUGAUGUUAGCGGCGGACGGGUGAGUAACACGUGGGCAACCUGCCCUUUAGUUCGGGAUAACUUCGGGAAACCGGAGCUAAUACCGAAUAAUACUUCAAGCCUCGUGGUUUGAAGUUGAAAGACGGUUUCGGCUGUCGCUAAAGGAUGGGCCCGCGGUGCAUUAGCUAGUUGGUGAGGUAACGGCUCACCAAGGCAACGAUGCAUAGCCGACCUGAGAGGGUGAUCGGCCACACUGGGACUGAGACACGGCCCAGACUCCUACGGGAGGCAGCAGUAGGGAAUCUUCCACAAUGGACGAAAGUCUGAUGGAGCAACGCCGCGUAAGUGAUGAAGGAUUUCGGUUCGUAAAACUCUGUUGCAAGGGAAGAACAAGUAGCGUAGUAACUGGCGCUACCUUGACGGUACCUUGUUAGAAAGCCACGGCUAACUACGUGCCAGCAGCCGCGGUAAUACGUAGGUGGCAAGCGUUGUCCGGAAUUAUUGGGCGUAAAGCGCGCGCAGGUGGUUUCUUAAGUCUGAUGUGAAAGCCCCCGGCUCAACCGGGGAGGGUCAUUGGAAACUGGGAGACUUGAGUGCAGAAGAGGAUAGUGGAAUUCCAAGUGUAGCGGUGAAAUGCGUAGAGAUUUGGAGGAACACCAGUGGCGAAGGCGACUGUCUGGUCUGUAACUGACACUGAGGCGCGA